GUAGACGUGGCCUUAUUAGUAUUAGUUUUGAACAAAUACAUUUCUGUGGAAAAGGAAUGUUUAAAAAACUUCUGUAAAUCAAAUUAUCUGAUUUAUAUUUGUUAUAACUACAAGACAAACACUAUCAGAUAUAGCUAUGGAAUGGAAGUAACAAGAGUAUGGCAUAAAAUCAUUUUAUAUAUUUGGAAUUACAGAAUUAUAUUUCAAAGAUAUGUGGCUCCAUAAGUAACUUUGGAAAUUAUGAUUUGUUGAAGUGCUUAAAAUAUGAUUGUAUUUUAAUUAUUUCUGAGGUAUUUCCAAUGUUUACUGUGGAGUUUCAGAGGCCCUAAUCCUACUUAGUGAUGCCCAUGUCAGUAAGGCAGUGGUUCAAGAUGAAACCUAGAUUCUUAACAAAUUCAGAUGUUUUCCAGUCAUGUUUCAUCAGCCAUCAACCUGGCCAAAAUCCAGUAUACAAAGUCAAGUUGGCGAAGGGAUCACCAUCCUUAAUGGCAUGCAGAUCUUAAAAUGAUAAGCUUUGAGCUUCAGUGUUUUUCUUUUUAUUUCCCAUCGUAUAGUUAGUGACAGAUCAACUUUUCAAGGUUCACCUCUUUUACUUACUGACCCCAAAAAAGAUGGUUCUUAGCGUGGUCUCAGAUGUUCUAUGUAAUUUCUGUUACUGUUUCAACAGAAACAGAUGUCCAUCUAGAACAAGGAGAAUCUUUUACAGUUCCAGUUGCAUCUAUGUACAAAUUAACUUUAUCAUCCUUAUAGUACUUGUAAGGAUUUGGGUAUCCAUUUUUCCUUUGGAAUUUCUUUUUGACUACAGUAAAUUUACCAUUAUCUUGAUAGCACAGUCAAACAACACUUGCAUGAUCCUACAUGCUAUAUUUCCUUUUAAUUGAAAUUACUGAUCUCAUAUUUUUGAGAGAGAGGGAGAAAGAAGAAAACUGUAAAUAUUGUUAGUUUGUGAGAAAAUCUAUUUAGGCAUAUAGUGUACAAUAUGGUUUGAAACAUUCUGUACCUUGUCAAAAACAUUCCUGAAUAAAACUGAUGGUUCUUGU
Molecule: long non-coding RNA, 1040 nt
Organism: Limulus polyphemus (Atlantic horseshoe crab)
Lineage: Eukaryota; Metazoa; Arthropoda; Merostomata; Xiphosura; Limulidae
Exons: 2
Source: RefSeq, a predicted model, not a curated record